UAGACCAAGGAUGAGAGCAUGUCAUGAAGCAGGGCUUAUAAUUAAUCCAGUUCCGAGGAGCUGAGGUCCAAU
Mustela putorius furo (domestic ferret) is the source of this 72-nucleotide small nucleolar RNA. The record is from Ensembl. Lineage: Eukaryota; Metazoa; Chordata; Mammalia; Carnivora; Mustelidae.